This 670-nucleotide ribosomal RNA is filed under the name uncultured Owenweeksia sp. RNAcentral describes it as "bacterial SSU rRNA". It matches the Rfam family "Bacterial small subunit ribosomal RNA", at positions 9 to 674 of the family's 1533-position model. The record is from RNAcentral. Lineage: Bacteria; Pseudomonadati; Bacteroidota; Flavobacteriia; Flavobacteriales; Owenweeksiaceae.
GAGUUUGAUCCUGGCUCAGGAUGAACGCUAGCGGCAGGCUUAGCACAUGCAAGUCGAACGGUAAGUUAAGAGCUUGCUCUUAACACGAGGGCGCACGGGUGCGUAACGCGUAUGCAAUCUGCCCUUUUCUGGAGAAUAGCCCUUAGAAAUGAGGAUUAAUACUCCAUAGUAUCACACUUUCGCAUGUUUGUGUGAUUAAAGCUUCGGCGGAAAAGGAUAGCAUGCGUCCCAUUAGCUUGUUGGUGAGGUAACGGCUCACCAAGGCCACGAUGGGUAGGGGGCCUGAGAGGGUUAUCCCCCACACUGGUACUGAGACAGGACCAGACUCCUACGGGAGGCAGCAGUGAGGAAUAUUGGUCAAUGGACGAAAGUCUGAACCAGCCAUGCCGCGUGCAGGAUGACUGCCCUAUGGGUUGUAAACUGCUUUUAUAUAGGAAGAAACCCCCUUAGGUGUAAGGGGUGAACGGUACCUAUAAGAAUUAAGGACCGGCUAACUCCGUGCCAGCAGCGGCGGUAAUACGGAGGGUCCAAGCGUUAUCCGGAUUUAUUGGGUUUAAAGGGUACGUAGGCCGAGGCUUUAAGUCAGUAGUGAAAGCCCAUCCGCUUACCGAUGGAACUGCUAUUGAUACUGAAGUUCUUGAAAUUAGUUGAAGUAGGCGGAAUACGGCAU